UAUGUUAAUUUAAAUUGUAUUUUUAUUCAUCUCUGCCCCCUCUCUUGUUGGCAUCAGAGCGACCACGACACCCGUCGUCGCCCUCGAGGCAAGGUCGACGACAAUAUGUUGGCAGACGCGCCGCCGCCGCGACAGAGUUUUUGUAAUAUUUAUGUGAUACAGGUACAAGCACUUAAUGCGAUAUAAUUUGUACUAUGCUGGUUACAUCGAUAUAGGUAGUUUAGUUGUGACGACUUGGGAGUCGCGUGUACGCUGUAUUCGUCUUAUAGUCGGACAAGACGAUAAUGUGCGUUAUCGGAUGGAUAUAUCAUACUUAUAUUUUAACCUGUUGCCGCCGCACAUCGGAAGUUUCGACACGAGGUCGCCGAGCACCGCUCAUCGUCGACUGAUUUUUUCCUCCUGGCACAAGACGUGUGUGGCGUGUGCGUUUAACUAUUUAAACCGACGGUCACAUCGUUGGUAAACGAUGCACAUCCGUCGUCAGCGCAUUUAUCUGCAAUCGACGGUCGAUCUAUAAACGCGUAUCGAUAUUAAUUUGUUCAAUACUUGAGUUUUGAAGUGCCAGCUACAAUUUGUAUCAAGCAUUAAUGAUUGAGAAGCUGCAGAAAGUGUGUACACGUUCACGGUUUGCUAUAUAAAGUUAAAUUAUUAAAAAAAACCCCUCGAGAGGAUAUUUUAUACAACGUUUCUCUCUUUAUGUUUUUAAUGGAUCUAUUCUAUUGCAGUACAACGCAUGUUAACCUCGCGUUUUCAAAAGUAUACAGAACCCUAUGUUUGUGUGCUACGUAAACUGUGCGAAAUGGACAGAGACAAUAAAUUCUAUCGUGACAGCCUCUUAUGGCAUACACAUUUUAUAAACGAAAACUCAACCGAUCGAUACCAACCUACGAGAGACCGCCAACCAGACUGAUCCGGUCAUUGUAUGAUUCUAAGAGAUGAUCAUAUUAUUAUGUGAAACCGGUAUAAUAUGUCCAUUCGUAUAAUUCUGCUUUGCAGUCGUAAAAUGUAUUAUUCUGGUUUUUUUUUAUAUAAUUAUGUAAAUUAUGUAAAUAUUUCAAAAUUAUUUUUCUUGGUAUAAAACAAAUCAAGGCGAUAUCGUUUGUACAAUUAUUGUAGAAUAAUUUUUUAAGCAA
This is a long non-coding RNA of Acyrthosiphon pisum (pea aphid), 1133 nucleotides long. RefSeq lists it as uncharacterized. The transcript has 3 exons. The record is from RefSeq and is a predicted model, not a curated record. NCBI's taxonomy places the organism in Eukaryota, Metazoa, Arthropoda, Insecta, Hemiptera, Aphididae.